Molecule: long non-coding RNA, 1230 nt
Organism: Felis catus (domestic cat)
Lineage: Eukaryota; Metazoa; Chordata; Mammalia; Carnivora; Felidae
Exons: 4
Source: RefSeq, a predicted model, not a curated record
GAGCUGUCAGCACAGAGCCGGAUGUGGGGCUCAAACUCACAGAUCCUGAGAUCAUGACCUGAGCCAAAGUUGGACACUUAAGUGACUGAGCCACCAAGUCGCCCCACCCCCCACUGUUUCCUUUUUGAGGGCCGGGCAGGGCAGAAGUCAAUGACAUGAUACCCAUUCCUUCCGCACCACCAAGGAGAGUUGGGUGUAAGCAUGUGACUCUUUCCAGGUCCUCAAAGCCCAUGCGUUCUGCCCCAGAGCCCCUGACUCCUGCUUGGCCCUCCUUCCUCCCAGGUUAUGGAGGCAACCAGCCUUCCAUCCACGUUGGGGUCAUGGCUGGGCCACCAAGGGCUCAAAAUCUCGCUGUCCACAUGCUUCCCUGUGGUGUCUGGAACAGCCGUGCUCCAGUAAAGGUCAGGCUUGUUUCGGGGGAGAAAACCUGACACAAAUUCGGAGGAACAGGAGCCGCAUUCAGUUGGGAAGUGAAGCCGCCAAAUGUUGACUCUCAGGACCUUCUAGAAGAAGGAGCUGAGACCCACUCUCCGAGUCCUGCCGGAACCAGAGCGAGAGAUGAAAACACAAUGUGCCCUCCACAUCGCACAUGCUUUUAUGAAGUUUCAGUGGGGAUUUUUUCCCAACAAUGUUGUAGUCGUUGGAAACAACUGGAAACCUGACAGUUUUACUAAAAGCAGAUUCACGGCGUCCCUCCCAGACUGCUCAUGGUCAAAGAACAUACCAAGGCCACUUCUCAGUAUGGUCAGAGAUUCACAGACCUGCCUGAGUUUUACAUUCACCACACAUACUUUCAAGGCUCCUUUCUGUCCCUGUAAGAAACAAGACAGACCUUCUGAUGCGCAGGCAAGUUGCUGUAACUUCAAGAUUUGUGGUGUACGUGUCUGUUAACUCCCCCCCCCAGUUGAAAAUAUCACCCCACCUUGAGUACUGCCAUAAAAAAUGUAACCUAUGUUCACCAGUAUGAUUUCAUUUCGUUAGAGUGGAUUUCUUCAUUUGAUAUUUUGUGUAUAUGCAUACAUUAGAUGUUUUAGUCCUGAGAAAAUCCCACAUGUAGUUGAAAGAAAAAUGUACAUCCUAUAUGGAAAAUUAGGAGAUUGCACAUUAAAUUCAUAAAUGUAGAAUUUUUUAAUGUUUUUAUUUAUUUUAUUUAUUAUUUUUUAACUAUGCAAUUCAUUGUCAAAUUGGAUUCCAACAACACCCAGUGCUCAUCCCAACAGGUGCCCUCCU